UACGUAGGGGGCAAGCGUUGUCCGGAUUUAUUGGGCGUAAAGAGCGUGUAGGCGGCUAGGUAGGUCCGUUGUGAAAACUCGAGGCUCAACCUCGAGCUGUCGAUGGAAACCAUCUGGCUAGAGUCCGGAAGAGGAGAGUGGAAUUCCUGGUGUAGCGGUGAAAUGCGCAGAUAUCGGGAGGAACACCUGCGGCGAAGGCGGGUUGCUGGGCCGACACUGACGCUGAAGUGCGAAAGCUAGGGGAGCGAACGGG
This 253-nucleotide ribosomal RNA is filed under the name uncultured bacterium. RNAcentral's name for it is "partial 16S ribosomal RNA". It matches the Rfam family "Bacterial small subunit ribosomal RNA", at positions 524 to 776 of the family's 1533-position model. The record is from RNAcentral.